This 237-nucleotide long non-coding RNA is filed under the name Vitis vinifera (wine grape). RNAcentral's name for it is "long non-coding RNA (VVIN_LNC006716)". Lineage: Eukaryota; Viridiplantae; Streptophyta; Magnoliopsida; Vitales; Vitaceae. The record is from RNAcentral.
AAGUGUGUACCUGAACAGUUUCUCAAGCGCUAUCAUGAAAUAUAAGAGUUAGUUUGGAAAUAUGACACAUAAUAUGUAUUUUGUCAAAGAUGAUCAAUCAAUCAUGCCAUCAAACAGGAUCAUAGCUCAUGAUAACGUACACAUUCAUAGAAUUUUAGAGUUGUAAGGUGAGAAGAGCAUACCUGAUUAGCGAACAUCCACACGUCUCAUGGGAACAAGGGUAUCUCAACAAUAAGU